AUAAAAUUUAUAUAAUUUUAAUAUUUAUAAAAAUUUUUAUAAAAUUUAUUAUGUUAAAGUAUUAUUUUUGAAAAAAUUAAUUAAAUCAUAAUUUAAAGUAAUGUAAAUGAAAUUAUAAAUAAUAUUUAAAAGUAAAAAUUAAUUUUUUACCUUUUGUAUCAGGAUUAAUUAAUUUAAUUUAAUAAUAAUUAUUUAUCUCGAAAAUAAAAGAGCUAAAAAUAAAUUAUUUUUAUUAUUGUAUUAAUAUUAUAAAUUUAUUUUUAGAAAUUAAAUGUUAUUCGAAUUUAUUAAUAUCUAGUUUUUUAUGAAAUAAAUUUAAUUUAUAUAUAAAUUAAUUUAUUUAUGAAAUAUUAUAUAUAAAUAAAUAAUUUAUAUAAAAAAUUUAUGGGAUAAACUAUAAAUUUAAAUUUAUAAUUUUUAUAAUAAAAAUUAUAUUAUAUUCAUAGAAUUUGAAAUUAAUUUAAAAUAUUUAAUAAUUUAAUAAUUAAAUAAUAAAAAUUUAUAAAAUAAAUAUAAAUUUUUAAUAAAAAAAUUUUUUAAAUAAUAAAAAAAAUAAUAUAAUGAUUAAAUAAGUAAAUAUAAAUAUAAUAAUAUUUAUAUAUAUAUAAUAUAUAUAAAUGUAUAUUAAAGGAAUUCGGCAAAUUAAAUAUAUUCACCUGUUUAACAAAAACAUGGCUUAUAGAUUUUAAUUUUAAGUCAAUCUGCCCAAUGAAAUAUUGAAUGGCUGCAGUAUAAUUAACUGUACAAAGGUAGCAUAAUCAAUUGUCUUUUAAUUAAAGGCUGGAAUGAAAGAAUUAAUGAAAUAUAUACUGUCUCUAAUAUAAUUAUUGAAAUUAAAUUUUAAGUAAAAAUGCUUAAAUAUAAUUAUGGGACGAUAAGACCCUAUAAAAUUUUAUAUUAUUAUUUAUAUAUAAAUUAUUAUUAUUUAAUUUAUAUAUAAAUAAUAAUAUUUUAUUGGGGAGAUAAUUAAAUUUAUUAAACUUUAAUAUAAUAAAAAUCUAUAAUUAUAGAAUAUUAAUUGAACUAAUAAAUAUUAAUUUUUAGAAUAAAUUACUUUAGGGAUAACAGCGUAAUAUCUUUUUAAAGAUCAUAUUAAAAAAGAUGAUUGCGACCUCGAUGUUGAAUUAAGAUAUAAUUUAAAUGAAGAAAUUUAAAAUUUAAGUCUGUUCGACUUUUAAAAUCUUACAUGAUUUGAGUUCAGAUCGACGUAAGUCAGAUCGGUUUCUAUCUAUAAUUUUAAGUAAUUAUUUUUUGUACGAAAGGACUAAAAUAAUAAAAUAUUUUUAUAAUAAAUUUAAUUAAUAUAUAUAUAUAUAUAUAUAUAUAAUUAUUUUAGCAAAUUAGUGNAUUAGUGUAU
RNAcentral lists this ribosomal RNA (1357 nucleotides) under Nomada flavoguttata. Its description in RNAcentral is "16S ribosomal RNA". The record is from RNAcentral. Lineage: Eukaryota; Metazoa; Arthropoda; Insecta; Hymenoptera; Apidae.